GCCGAGAUAGCUCAGUUGGUAGAGCAUGCGACUGAAAAUCGCAGUGUCCACAGUCCGAUUCUGUGUCUCGGCA
Molecule: transfer RNA, 73 nt
Organism: Longilinea arvoryzae
Lineage: Bacteria; Bacillati; Chloroflexota; Anaerolineae; Anaerolineales; Anaerolineaceae
Rfam family: tRNA
About the family: Transfer RNA (tRNA) molecules are approximately 80 nucleotides in length.
Source: Rfam